Molecule: long non-coding RNA, 1572 nt
Organism: Mercenaria mercenaria
Lineage: Eukaryota; Metazoa; Mollusca; Bivalvia; Venerida; Veneridae
Exons: 4
Source: RefSeq, a predicted model, not a curated record
CUCCAGAACAGAUUAAGGCUAUAAGGAAUUACUCACUUUCUAAAAUUCUUUGCCAUAACUACAACUUCUUGGAGAUCCAGUAUCCAAAUGCAUUUGAACUGAGUGAUAAAAAGCUCCCUUGUGAUGACAUUCCCGACCUUGAUUUGACAGUAUUUAGUCCAGGCGAGGGUGACAUCCGUUGCAUGGGCGAAUUUGGCGCUUGUACAAAACAUACCUUCGAUGACGGAAAAAAAAUGACUCUUCAAAACACACACUGCCAAAGCUAUUGUCGGUGCCUGGGAAACCGAUCACACACACGGUUCUUCUGGGUUGUUAAAACAUGCCGCGAUGGUAAGAUAUUUGAUGAAAAGAAGCAGCGUUGUAGAAAUGAAUCUAAAGUAAAUUGUAUUUUCCGAAAGUAAAAUUGACAAGGUCCUUGUUUUGACCACCAACAGAAUAAAUAAUGGAAAUAAAUCGCAUCAUAAAUGACAGUGAAUCGAUUCUGAAAUGAUUAUAAUGUGAAACACACAAUGUAAAGAAAUGAUGAGCCGUUUAAUGAAUUACUUUUCUACAGUGUUUUGGCCGUUUGUAUUGUAAGAUAGUGUCGGACGUUUAAUUUUUCGAGAGUGAAUCUCUUGGCAAGUUAUGCAGCGUGAUAAUUUAUAACCUGUGAAUAUCUAGGUCUGCUUGUAUACAGAAUAUAAAUGCCUCCAAGUUAUACGACCAACUAAGAACUUAAACAUAGCUAUUGAGAAACCAUAUGUAAAUUAUUACAUGAUUACUUAAAGAGAGCAUGUUUAAUUUUUUAGUAGACAGUAUUGCACUUUCUCAGAAAUUUGUCGACUCUUUAUUAUGAAGAUCAGUGCUUAUCAUGGCAAUUUCAGUAGGUAGUAUUAGCAUUUAAAAAUAUAGAGUUUUUUGAGUUUCCUAAGAGAAAUCUAAUGUACCAUUGCUUAAGAUCCGUGCUUAUUUUGGCAAUUUCAAUAUGUUGUAUUAGACUUUUAAACAUUUUAAAAAUAUAGUGCUUUUUGAAUUUUCAAAGAGAAAUCUAAUGUACCAUUGCUUAAGAACCGUGCUUAUUUUGGCAAUUUCAGUAUAUAGUAUAAGUAUUAGUAUUAGUAUUUAAAAAUAGAGUGUUUUUUGAGUUUCCUAAGAGAAAUCUAAUGUACCAUUGCUUAAGAUCCGUGCUUAUUUUGGCAAUUUCAGUAUGUUGUAUUAGUAUACUGGUAAUUGAAAAUGCAGCUCCUGGUUCGUCAGUUUGAACUCUUGGUGUCAUGAAAAAAUUAUGAAUGAAGGUCAUUCUUAUAUUUUUCAAUAGCUUCACAUAGCUAAUGUGGUCAAUUCAUGUGACAUAUUGUAUCUUGUAUCGUUAUAUUUGUAAAUUGUAUGGUUCGGUAGAUGACAUCAAUAAGUACAUAAGAUUCUGAGUUUUGUUACCAUAUGUUCUAUGUUGAAAUUUUUUAGCUUUAUUAUUAAAUGAUACGCGACUGAGUUCUGUGUAAAUGAUGUAUGUUUGUUUCUCCUUUUAUAUUACUACUUUAGAUUUUGUAGCUGUCAUGUAUUCUUUUCAUUAAUAAAUACUCGGAGAGCAAA